Priapulus caudatus is the source of this 1269-nucleotide long non-coding RNA. RefSeq lists it as uncharacterized. The record is from RefSeq and is a predicted model, not a curated record. The transcript has 3 exons. NCBI's taxonomy places the organism in Eukaryota, Metazoa, Priapulida, Priapulimorpha, Priapulimorphida, Priapulidae.
CUACUGAAUAGAUACGUACGAAGAUGCAUUUGACACGGAGACAGCUAUUGGAUACGACGGUGACUUAGAAUCGGCAAUAGAACAGGAAGAGCUGAUUCAUGCGUUAGGUUUGCCUGAAAAGGUAGUUGCCGAAUUUAUAGGCGAAACAUCAGAAGGAAAGGAGUUUUCAUCAGCGUACUCACACUCUGUUGCCCAGUCGGUUGAUCAGGGCAUCGAUGUUCAUCUGGAAGUGCCUGCAGGUCAACGGGCGAUGAUUAACAUAUUCCUGGAAAAGGACAUCUACGUCGUCAAAUGGAGAGCACAGUUCUUUGCUGCUGGGUUCGCCACGAUCAAGUGGUGUAACCGGUGGGUAACUCUUCACCUAAGCCAGAUUCUGGACCAGCGAGAGCGCGACUUCUUUGCUUUCGGAACGAUAAAGUACCAUGAGCGCUACCAGUGGGUGAGCAUGGUGACACUCUACGACAGAGAAGGUCACAAACUCGGCGAUGCACCUGAGGAAAUUCUUACAUAGGACGCCCUAGCGCCUCUUCUCGCCCAAGGGAAACUCGUGGCGCCACCUCUCGCCCGAGGACGUUGAGGGCAGCGCCGUAAGUUUCGGGUUUACGAAUCUUGGACUCGGAGUCAAGACUCCAGAAUGGGGACGCCCAUGUCACCAGCUAAGCAACUCCAAUUCAAAGGAAAUGAUACUAUACUGCUCCAGGCCAGUUAUUAAAGAAAUGAAUUAUAUAUAUAUCGGAAUCUAUUUUCAUAUCUACUGAUCUGUGCAAUUCACAGUUGAUCUUAAUUACGUCUAUUAUUUAAUCUGUUCUUCAUUAGUGAAACGUCUCAUUUAUACUAGUUGUGGAUUUUAGUGUCUUCAAUACAUCCAAACACUGUUGGUAUCAAUUUAAUUCGCUUUAUGCUAUUAUUAUUAUUAUUCAAAUUCUAUAGUGGUUCGACAAGUAUUUAUCAACAAAACGCCAUAAACUUUAAUGUGCAAUCAUAUUAUGUCCCAAACACAAUUUUCGUUAACAAUAUUUAAAACAUGAAAAUGGUAUCAGUAAGGAGCACUUACAGCGAUUUUAAACACCCACAACGCGCUGUUGUUCUAAAAAAUAAAAUUAGUCAAUUAAGGGUUCUAGUAAGCGUCACAUGAAUCGAUGGCGUAAUUCAUGUUCAUAUAAACACGUUAAUUAUUCACACUUAUUUCCGCUUGUGAGGGCAACGUAGAGAUUGUUGUGGAGGUCGAGGUUAAAUUGACUACGUCACGAAGUUUCUAUGGUGUAUAUU